GCGGGUGUGGUUCAAUGGUAGAACGAAUCCCUUCCAAGGAUUAGACGAGGGUUCGAUUCCCUUCACCCGCU
This 71-nucleotide transfer RNA is filed under the name Candidatus Roizmanbacteria bacterium RIFOXYA1_FULL_41_12. Its description in RNAcentral is "tRNA-Gly". It matches the Rfam family "tRNA". From Rfam's summary of the family: Transfer RNA (tRNA) molecules are approximately 80 nucleotides in length. RNAcentral also lists the same sequence under 6 other names. Lineage: Bacteria; Candidatus Roizmaniibacteriota. The record is from RNAcentral.